Molecule: ribosomal RNA, 806 nt
Filed under: uncultured Cryptophyta
Lineage: Eukaryota; Cryptophyceae
Description: bacterial SSU rRNA
Rfam family: Eukaryotic small subunit ribosomal RNA
Source: RNAcentral
AGCCAUGCAUGUCUCAGUACAAGCAUCCUUGUACCGUGAAACUGCGAAUGGCUCAUUACAACAGUUAUAGUUUAUUUGAUCGUGCGGAGCUACGUGGAUAACCGUAGGAAUUCUAGAGCUAAUACAUGCACCGUCGCCGAAGAUCUUUGGUUAGACUUCGGCGGGAUUUAUUAGAUCAAAAACCAAUCGCUUCUUUCGUUUUUUCGAGUAGAGGCGUGGUGGGAUGAAUCAUAAUAACUUAACCGAAUCGUAUGGCCAACAUUAGGCCGACGAUAAAUCAUUCAAAUUUCUGCCCUAUCAACUUUCGAUGGUAGGGUAGUGGCCUACCAUGGUGUUGACGGGUGACGGAGAAUUAGGGUUCGAUUCCGGAGAGGGAGCCUGAGAAACGGCUACCACAUCCAAGGAAGGCAGCAGGCGCGCAAAUUACCCAAUCCUGAUUCAGGGAGGUAGCGACAAGAAAUAACGAUAGUGGGCUCGUUCGAGUCCGCGCAUCGGAAUGAGGAUAAUUUACACCCCUUCUCGAGGAUCCAUUGGAGGGCAAGCCUGGUGCCAGCAGCCGCGGUAAUUCCAGCUCCAAUAGCGUAUACUAAAGUUGUUGCAGUUAAAAAGCUCGUAGUCGAAUGAAGGUUUCUUGUAUAGCGCGGACGUCUAGGUGCAACUUAGAUUAGUUUGCGCACAAGAACCUCCCUUGUGUGUCUCAGAGGAGCAAAUAUUUAUUUAUUUUGAUCCAUUUGCGACACACACAUUACUGUGAACAAAAUAGAGUGUUCAUGGCAGGUCAAUUUAGGCUUGAAUACCUCAGCAUG